This 207-nucleotide unclassified non-coding RNA is filed under the name uncultured fungus. Its description in RNAcentral is "sequence contains ITS1". Lineage: Eukaryota; Fungi. The record is from RNAcentral.
UUAAGUUAUUCGCAAUUAUGAUUUCAGACAAGGUUUUCAGAGUUGUGAUGAAGACCUUCGGCGGGCGCGCGCCAGCCCGUGUGGGCCAGCGGGGCGCGAGUCCACGGCCCGCCAAAGCAACAUGGUUUGGUACACAGGGGGUUGGGAGGUUCGGGCUCGAAGAACCCUAUCUCGAUAAUGAUCCUUCCGCAGGUUCACCUACGGAAA